RNAcentral lists this ribosomal RNA (253 nucleotides) under uncultured bacterium. Its description in RNAcentral is "partial 16S ribosomal RNA". It matches the Rfam family "Bacterial small subunit ribosomal RNA", at positions 524 to 776 of the family's 1533-position model. The record is from RNAcentral.
UACGUAGGGUGCGAGCGUUAAUCGGAAUUACUGGGCGUAAAGCGUACGUAGGCGGCUUUGCAAGUUAGAGGUGAAAGCCUGGAGCUCAACUCCAGAACUGCCUUUAAAACUGCAUCGCUUGAAUCCAGGAGAGGUGAGUGGAAUUCCGAGUGUAGAGGUGAAAUUCGUAGAUAUUCGGAAGAACACCAGUGGCGAAGGCGGCUCACUGGACUGGUAUUGACGCUGAGGUACGAAAGCGUGGGGAGCAAACAGG